This 466-nucleotide ribosomal RNA is filed under the name Staphylococcus aureus. RNAcentral describes it as "partial 23S ribosomal RNA". It matches the Rfam family "Bacterial large subunit ribosomal RNA", at positions 93 to 553 of the family's 2925-position model. The record is from RNAcentral. Lineage: Bacteria; Bacillati; Bacillota; Bacilli; Caryophanales; Staphylococcaceae.
UAAGCUUUGAUCCAGAGAUUUCCGAAUGGGGAAACCCAGCAUGAGUUAUGUCAUGUUAUCGAUAUGUGAAUACAUAGCAUAUCAGAAGGCACACCCGGAGAACUGAAACAUCUUAGUACCCGGAGGAAGAAAAAGAAAAUUCGAUUCCCUUAGUAGCGGCGAGCGAAACGGGAAGAGCCCAAACCAACAAGCUUGCUUGUUGGGGUUGUAGGACACUCUAUACGGAGUUACAAAGGACGACAUUAGACGAAUCAUCUGGAAAGAUGAAUCAAAGAAGGUAAUAAUCCUGUAGUCGAAAAUGUUGUCUCUCUUGAGUGGAUCCUGAGUACGACGGAACACGUGAAAUUCCGUCGGAAUCUGGGAGGACCAUCUCCUAAGGCUAAAUACUCUCUAGUGACCGAUAGUGAACCAGUACCGUGAGGGAAAGGUGAAAAGCACCCCGGAAGGGGAGUGAAAUAGAACCUGA